GUGCACUUCUUACAUGCUGUGAACCUUCCGGCGAGAAAUUCGAAGAACGGUGAGCUGUGUCUCCCUCUGCUGGAAAGUCGCACGUUUUCAGCUGUUACCUCCAUCUACAGCCUGACCAACCACAUCUUCUCAUCAUGGGUGUAACAACCUGUCAGGGGAAGUGUAAGAUACUACAGCAGGAGAGCUGGAGCUUAGCCUGGCAACACAGGGCAGAAGACUGGAGGAGGAGGAGGAGGAGAAGACACACCCAGGACGGGACACCAGUUCGUCGCAAGGCACCCCAAGCAGGACUCGAACUCCAGACCCACCAGAAAGCAGGACCUGGUCCAACCCACUACGCCAUCACACCCCACUACAAUCAUCUAAGAAUUUUAAAAUGCGGUUCAGAUGUGUAGGUACCAUCACUAUAAAGUAUUUCAUUACAAUGUGUUUUAAUUCACUACAAGGAAACGCUGCUACGAAAAGUAGAAACUUUCAUUCCUGUUGCAUCCUUCAACUGAAAAGAAAUCAUUUGUUCAAUCAUUGCAAAAAGUGCAUUUCAUUGUUUUUUCCUAGGAAUUAAUGUAUGCAAAUUGUAAGUGUGAAU
This 586-nucleotide long non-coding RNA is filed under the name Scleropages formosus (Asian bonytongue). Its description in RNAcentral is "lncRNA (ENSSFOG00015029423.1)". The record is from RNAcentral. Lineage: Eukaryota; Metazoa; Chordata; Actinopteri; Osteoglossiformes; Osteoglossidae.